AUUAAGUUGGUUAAAUCCAAUGAAUGCGUAAUAGAUGAACGCCAUAGACUCUAACAUAAGAACUACAGAUAUAAUAUUCCCAUAUUUUAUCCUUCCAUACUGAAGACAAAUAAUUAAUGAAGCUAUAUGAAAAAAGGAAUGAACAUUCACGCGUGAAAAUUUUAUUGGGAAAGCAAAGAAUUCAACAAUCCCCAAUUAUGGGAUCAUCGAAUGUAAGUCCAUAUGCAUUUAAAUUCAAAAGAGUUGAAAUUACUUGACCAAUGCCGCCAAAGAG
This 274-nucleotide unclassified non-coding RNA is filed under the name Hevea brasiliensis (rubber tree). Lineage: Eukaryota; Viridiplantae; Streptophyta; Magnoliopsida; Malpighiales; Euphorbiaceae. The record is from RNAcentral.